This 247-nucleotide ribosomal RNA is filed under the name uncultured bacterium. RNAcentral describes it as "partial 16S ribosomal RNA". It matches the Rfam family "Bacterial small subunit ribosomal RNA", at positions 523 to 769 of the family's 1533-position model. The record is from RNAcentral.
AUACGAAGGGGGCUAGCGUUGUUCGGAAUUACUGGGCGUAAAGCGCACGUAGGCGGCUUUCCAAGUUGGAGGUGAAAUCCCCGGGCUUAACCUGGGAACUGCCUCCAAAACUGGGAAGCUCGAGUCCGAGAGAGGUGAGUGGAAUUUCCAGUGUAGAGGUGAAAUUCGUAGAUAUUGGAAAGAACACCUGUGGCGAAGGCGGCUCACUGGCUCGGUACUGACGCUGAGGCGCGACAGCGUGGGGAGC